UACGAAGGGGGCUAGCGUUGCUCGGAAUCACUGGGCGUAAAGGGUGCGUAGGCGGGUCUUUAAGUCAGGGGUGAAAUCCUGGAGCUCAACUCCAGAACUGCCUUUGAUACUGAGGAUCUUGAGUAUGGGAGAGGUGAGUGGAACUGCGAGUGUAGAGGUGAAAUUCGUAGAUAUUCGCAAGAACACCAGUGGCGAAGGCGGUCUGCUGGGCCAAGACUGACGCUGAGGCGCGACAGCGUGGGGAGCAAACAGG
RNAcentral lists this ribosomal RNA (253 nucleotides) under uncultured bacterium. Its description in RNAcentral is "partial 16S ribosomal RNA". It matches the Rfam family "Bacterial small subunit ribosomal RNA", at positions 524 to 776 of the family's 1533-position model. The record is from RNAcentral.